AGCGGCGGAUGGGUGAGUAACACGUGGGGAACCUGCCCCUAAGUCUGGGAUACCAUUUGGAAACAGGUGCUAAUACCGGAUAAUAAAGCAGAUCGCAUGAUCAGCUUUUGAAAGGCGGCGUAAGCUGUCGCUAAGGGAUGGCCCCGCGGUGCAUUAGCUAGUUGGUAAGGUAACGGCUUACCAAGGCGACGAUGCAUAGCCGAGUUGAGAGACUGAUCGGCCACAUUGGGACUGAGACACGGCCCAAACUCCUACGGGAGGCAGCAGUAGGGAAUCUUCCACAAUGGACGCAAGUCUGAUGGAGCAACGCCGCGUGAGUGAAGAAGGUUUUCGGAUCGUAAAGCUCUGUUGUGGGUGAAGAAGGAUAGAGGUAGUAACCGGCCUUUAUUUGACGGUAAUCAACCAGAAAGUCACGGCUAACUACGUGCCAGCAGCCGCGGUAAUACGUAGGUGGCAAGCGUUGUCCGGAUUUAUUGGGCGUAAAGCGAGCGCAGGCGGAAAAAUAAGUCUAAUGUGAAAGCCCUCGGCUUAACCGAGGAACUGCAUCGGAAACUGUUUUUCUUGAGUGCAGAAGAGGAGAGUGGAACUCCAUGUGUAGCGGUGGAAUGCGUAGAUAUAUGGAAGAACACCAGUGGCGAAAGGCGGCUCUCUGGUCUGCAACUGACGCUGAGGCUCGAAAGCAUGGGUAGCGAACAGGAUUAGAUACCCUGGUAGUCCAUGCCGUAACGAUGAGUGCUAAGUGU
This 743-nucleotide ribosomal RNA is filed under the name uncultured bacterium. Its description in RNAcentral is "bacterial SSU rRNA". It matches the Rfam family "Bacterial small subunit ribosomal RNA", at positions 94 to 823 of the family's 1533-position model. The record is from RNAcentral.